Molecule: long non-coding RNA, 871 nt
Organism: Danio aesculapii
Lineage: Eukaryota; Metazoa; Chordata; Actinopteri; Cypriniformes; Danionidae
Exons: 2
Source: RefSeq, a predicted model, not a curated record
GGCUAAGUAGUGAGCUGACACGGCAGAUGAGCAAAGCUUUAAAACAACCUUAGCUAAUCUGUUUAUCUCUGUUUUGUAUGAUUAAACGAGAACAGGCUGCUGUCUUCGAGAGGGAAACUGUGUUAUGAAAUCGACGACAGAAAUCGACGGGAUGAUACGUGCUGAGCGAGGAGAAAAGCAGACUAAUUUCCUGGGAAAAGCAAAGCUGAGUUCUGUUCCCUGAUUGGAUGCACUGCUGGUUUUUCAUAUGAGAGUCACGCGUAAACAUGCACACACACAUCUAGAAAGCACAAGGUAAACCCAUGCAACCUCAAGUCUCUAUUUCCCUCUCCUAGCUACCGGUCUCGAAUGAAGAACUUUUGACAUUGGCGAGUGCUGAGACUUAACAUGGAGUUCAGAGACGGGUUUGCACAACAAACAGAUGUUCUUUGAUGUCAGCUGCAGUGAGGGGGAGGCGAAAAAAAUGGGAACGCUAAAAAGAAGUAGGAGGAAGGUGUCAGAACUCUAAUCACCAGCCAGCGCUCAGAAAGAAAUCUAUUGUAUCUCGUAGCGCAAACACUGGGUUGUAUUCACCAUAACCUUGGCUUUUAUACAAAAUUACAUUUAUUCCAUUCGUUAAACCAUUAAGAAUUUGUGACUGGUAUGUUUGAUGUAGUAUUCAAAGAAUUAAAUAGCAUGGCUUACACCUGUUUUUCCCUUUAUAGAGCACUUGUUGAAAUAUUCAUUGGAGUUUUACUGUAAUAUUAUAAGACUUUUAUGACAUAUAAUAUAAUAAAUGUCAAUGAAGUUACCAUAUAUGCUUGAUAAAAAGUUUAUGAUUUACAAAAUAUUUGGUUUAUGCUGAAAAAUGUGUUAACAUGGUAAAGUAAUA